GCCUGGCUGGCUCAGUCGGUAGAGCAUGUGAUGCUUGAUCUCAGGAUUGUGAGUUCAAAUCCCACGUUGGGUA
This 73-nucleotide transfer RNA is filed under the name Canis lupus familiaris (dog). It matches the Rfam family "tRNA". Rfam says of the family: Transfer RNA (tRNA) molecules are approximately 80 nucleotides in length. Their secondary structure includes four short double-helical elements and three loops (D, anti-codon, and T loops). RNAcentral also lists the same sequence under 1 other name. The record is from Rfam by way of RNAcentral. Lineage: Eukaryota; Metazoa; Chordata; Mammalia; Carnivora; Canidae.